This 501-nucleotide ribosomal RNA is filed under the name uncultured bacterium. RNAcentral describes it as "partial 16S ribosomal RNA". It matches the Rfam family "Bacterial small subunit ribosomal RNA", at positions 30 to 523 of the family's 1533-position model. The record is from RNAcentral.
AUUGAACGCUGGCGGCAGGCUUAACACAUGCAGGUCGAGCGGGGGAAGGUAGCUUGCUACCGGACCUAGCGGCGGACGGGUGAGUAAUGCUUAGGAAUCUGCCUAUUAGUGGGGGACAACAUCUCGAAAGGGAUGCUAAUACCGCAUACGUCCUACGGGAGAAAGCAGGGGAUCUUCGGACCUUGCGCUAAUAGCUGAGCCUAAGUCGGAUUAGCUAGUUGGUGGGGUAAAGGCCUACCAAGGCGACGAUCUGUAGCGGGUCUGAGAGGAUGAUCCGCAACACUGGGACUGAGAGACGGCCCAGACUCCAGCGGGAGGCAGCAGUGGGGAAUAUUGGACAAUGGGGGGCACCCUGAUCCAGCCAUGCCGCGGGUGUGAAGAAGGCCUUAUGGUUGUAAAGCACUUUAAGCGAGGAGGAGGCUACUCUAGUUAAUACCUAGGGAUAGUGGACGUUACUCGCAGAAUAAGCACCGGCUAACUCUGUGCCAGCCGCCGCGGUAA